This is a long non-coding RNA of Oncorhynchus keta (chum salmon), 706 nucleotides long. RefSeq lists it as uncharacterized. The record is from RefSeq and is a predicted model, not a curated record. Lineage: Eukaryota; Metazoa; Chordata; Actinopteri; Salmoniformes; Salmonidae. The transcript is spliced from 5 exons.
AGAAGGUUUCAGAACCACUGCAGUAGAAAGUUACAGAACCAGUCCAGUAGAAGGUUACAGAACCACUGCAGUAGAAAGUUACAGAACCACUGCAGUAGAAGGUUACAGAACCACUGCAGUAGAAGGUUACAGAACCACUGCAGUAGAAGGUUAAAUAAGCAGUGCAGUAGAAGGUUACAGAACCACUGCAGUAGAAAGUUACAGAACCACUGCAGUAGAAAGUUACAGAACCACUGCAGUAGAAGGUUAAAGAAGCAGUGCAGUAGAAGGUUACAGAACCACUGCAGUAGAAGGUUACAGAACCACUGCAGUAGAAGGUUAAAGAAGCAGUGCAGUAGAAGGUUACAGAACCACUGCAGUAGAAGGUUAAAGAAGCACUGCAGUAGAAGGUUACAGAACCACUGCAGUAGAAGGUUAAAGAAGCAGUGCAGUAGAAGGUUACAGAACCACUGCAGUAGAAGGUUACAGAACCACUGCAGUAGAAGGUUACAGAACCACUGCAGUAGAAGGUUACAGAACCACUGCAGUAGAAGGUUACAGAACCACUGCAGUAGAAGGUUACAGAACCACUGCAGUAGAAAGUUACAGAACCACUGCAGUAGAAGGUUAAAGAAGCAGUGCGGUCCAAAUUGUUCCCAGUGUUGUUUUAAGACAUACAACACUCAGAUUGUGAAAAUAAUGAUAAUACCUUUUUUGGGGGAAAGAG